AUUGAACGCUGGCGGCAUGCCUUACACAUGCAAGUCGAACGGUAACAGGUCUUCGGAUGCUGACGAGUGGCGAACGGGUGAGUAAUACAUCGGAACGUGCCUAGUAGUGGGGGAUAACUACUCGAAAGAGUGGCUAAUACCGCAUGAGAUCUACGGAUGAAAGCAGGGGAUCGCAAGACCUUGUGCUACUAGAGCGGCCGAUGGCAGAUUAGGGAGUUGGUGGGAUAAAAGCUUACCAAGCCGACGAUCUGUAGCUGGUCUGAGAGGACGAUCGGCCACACUGGGACUGAGACACGGCCCAGACUCCUACGGGAGGCAGCAGUGGGGAAUUUUGGACAAUGGGCGAAAGCCUGAUCCAGCAAUGCCGCGUGCAGGAUGAAGGCCUUCGGGUUGUAAACUGCUUUUGUACGGAACGAAAAGCCCCGGGUUAAUACCCUGGGGUCAUGACGGUACCGUAAGAAUAAGCACCGGCUAACUACGUGCCAGCCGCCGGCGUAA
This 498-nucleotide ribosomal RNA is filed under the name uncultured bacterium. RNAcentral describes it as "partial 16S ribosomal RNA". It matches the Rfam family "Bacterial small subunit ribosomal RNA", at positions 30 to 523 of the family's 1533-position model. The record is from RNAcentral.